This 731-nucleotide ribosomal RNA is filed under the name Fritillaria crassifolia. RNAcentral's name for it is "eukaryotic LSU rRNA". The stretch from base 300 to 455 matches the Rfam family "5.8S ribosomal RNA". Lineage: Eukaryota; Viridiplantae; Streptophyta; Magnoliopsida; Liliales; Liliaceae. The record is from RNAcentral.
GUCCUACCGCCGAGAAGUCCACUGAACCUUAUCAUACGUCACUUAGAGGAAGGACGGAAGGAUCAUUGUCGAGAACCGACCGAGAGACCGCGAACCCGUAAACGGAUGACACCGUGUCGGGCGGACAGUUUGCUCUGCCCGCCCUGCUCGGGACCCCGCAUCCUGUCCGCGAUCGCCCCCGGGCGGCCCCGGACACGCUCUGCGGGGGACGGACGAAACCCCGGCGCCUCGGCGGCGGCGCGGCGCGGCAUGGACGGCAACGCCUCGGCGGCGGCGCGGCGCCCGCUCUCUAUCUAUACGACUCUCGGCAACGGAUAUCUCGGCUCUCGCAUCGAUGAAGAACGUAGCGAAAUGCGAUACUUGGUGUGAAUUGCAGAAUCCCGUGAACCAUCGAGUCUUUGAACGCAAGUUGCGCCCGAGGCCUUUCGGUCGAGGGCACGCCUGCCUGGGCGUCACGCCUUGUUUCGCUCCGUUCCCAUGCCCCCUCGGGGGCGGCCACGGAUGCGGAGACUGGCCCUCCGUGCCUCGCGCGCGGGCCGUCGGCGCCGGGAUGGGCAGUGGUGGACGGAGCACCAGCAGGAUGUCGUGGCCCCCCGUCGCCUUAAGGGGCUCAAGAGACCCGGACCAGGCGAGCCGUGCUCCGUACGAGGAGGGCGUGCCGCCUCGCAACGCGACCCCAGGUCAGGCGGGGACACCCGCUGAGUUUAAGCAUAUCAAUAAGCAGUUUAAGC